RNAcentral lists this long non-coding RNA (4343 nucleotides) under Sus scrofa (pig). RNAcentral's name for it is "lncRNA (ENSSSCG00060075465.1)". The record is from RNAcentral. Lineage: Eukaryota; Metazoa; Chordata; Mammalia; Artiodactyla; Suidae.
UUUUUUUUUCUGUAUAUCUUGUCUCUUUUUCUAGUAGCAAUUUUCUGAUACUUUCCAUUAACCCUUCUCAGAUGAAAAAAGUACAACCUAUGAUUAACACACUUAGCCAUCAUUACUUUUCUAGGUACAAUUUUUGGCCACAAACCUCCUCAUGUAUUACCAGUCAGCCAACCAGAGUUGGAAGCUCUUGAGUCAUGUAUUCAUUUCCAGCCCAUUAAGUGGCUGCUCUUCACCAAGAUCCCCCCCCCCUCAGUCAGGUGGUCCCGCUCAAAAAGAGAUAAUGGGUUUGUUGGUAACAACUAGCAUGUAUGACAGAUAGGAUAGUUACAGACUAUGAAUCAAGGUAAACAAAAAUAUAAAUUUGAUUUCUCUAUAACUGAACUGAAGUCCUAUUUUGAAACUUUAUUCAGAUGAUAGAAAAAAAAUUAGGCUUCAGUAAUUUAAGGUAAGUCACUCAAUUCAGGGUUUUCUCAGUCAAAUAAGAAUUCUUCCCUUACUGAUUCUCCAUGUGUCUUAGUUUGGGUGAGCCCAAAAGUAGCAUCUGAGAGGAGGAAUUAGAUUCUGGUGGUUUGUGUGAGAUGUAUCUUUGGAAACAACAAUGAGACAGCAAAAAGAGUGAGACAUAGGAGAAGAGAAAACAGUAAAGAGUUUGUUGUUGAACUGCUGGCAACUGGAACUCUAUUCUACUGCAUCCUCUUAAUGGCUGGUUAGAAUGAGACCCAUAAUUGUUUCUGAAAAAUAGGGUGCUGAAACACUAAUCCUCCAACUCCCACUCCUCAUUGGUUGAGAACUUCCCCUGGAGGUAUUAAUUGCUCUGUAUUUCUGGACUACCCUGCAUGCAAAUUGAGAAAAACCCCGCAUCUUCAGGAAACAUCCUUAGACAGUAAAGUGUAAAUUUUCGUGCAUGCUUGGAGUAGUCUGCACAAGAACUAGCCACUGGAGCUGCAGUCAAUAUCUGAGGGUAGUCAAAAGAAUGUGAUAUGGAACCCCAAAAUUUUCUACCACACUCCAGGAGCAAAGACAUGUUGUAUCACUGUGUGGGUGAUAGUCAGAUAUCAUAACCUAUCCAAGUUGGAAUCUACUGAGAAAAUUAAGGCUCAAUUUAACUAGUCUUUAUCUUCUAGCUCUGUUAGUAAAUUCUGAGGCAUCUUCAUUGCCCUCUAGUUUCCAAUUGUCAAGGAUAUGUAGGAAAUAUGUACCCUCCUUCCCAUGCCCAUACAGGCCCACACAACCUGCACCCUCUCUCCACUCAGCUCUUUCUUCAUUCCUCUCAGGGAAAGGCCUGGAAAGGGGCUUGAGGAGCAGUUCUUAGGAAUGAAACCUGUGGACCCAUUCUCAGGGACACACACAAAAAUCUAUUUCAAUAUUUGCAUCUCCUGACUCUCCAUUCCUUUACACUAAUCUAUGAGAACCCUAUCUAAUUUCAGCAGCUGGGGAAAACUGCCCUGACUCAUUCUGUAUUUUUUUCAUGUGUUUUAUUUAUGUCAUAAACUUUGUGUCCUGAAUCCUUUGAGGUUCUGACUCUUGAUAUUAUGCAACUCAAAAUUUUUACUCUCAUCAUUACUGUCUCUUCUGGGAGUUUCAAAAGGCUGUUUUGAGCCUAAAAAGCUGAGCAUUGACUCCUUUCUUUCCCUUUUGUAUUUCUUAAGUAACUGUACCCUAAGAGUAGUAAGUAUAGAAUAUCCUCUCAUAUUGAGUCUCCAAAAGCAGACCUUGAGAUGAGGACUUGUGUGAAAGUAAUUUAUUAGGACAUGUUCCCCUAAAAUACCAGUAAAGGAGUAAGGAACUGGAAUAGGGAAAGGAAGAAAAACAAGCAAGGCUGUAAUAUUAAACCAAGUCCUGUAAGAGGGUAACUUUGGCUCCAUCCCAGAGUCUAUCCCUGGAGACAAUGAAGGUCAUGCCUCAGAAUUUUCCCCCUCAAGGGACAAGAGAGUUAGAAUAUUUAUCCUCUCAUCCCAUCAGUCAUUGGUUAAGGGCUGCCCAAUGGGAGAAGAGGGAAGGGGAGAGGGUGUGGAGACUGUGGUAUUAAAAUCCCAGUCACUUCAGCAAAUUCUGUUCUGACAGCAUCUGUUGGGAUAGCCUUACCAUUAUCUGAAUGGGGGAUCAGUCUGAGCAGCAGGAAACAGGAGGGAAAGAAACAGAGGAUGAUGUUUCAGAAUAUAAUCUUGCAAUGCAUAUCUACUAUGCUUAACUCCCAUGCUCUCUUACACCAUCAUGAAUUUCAUAGGGGGAUAUUAAGUUUUGUAUACUCUCCUUUUCUUCCAGGCCAAUGGCUUUUUCUGCAAAACUUAAUCUCCCUAGUCACAAGCUCUUUCCCUCUCUGCUCUUGUGUACUAUCCUCUGAGAAUAAGCCUAUCAAAGUUGGGUUUCCCCUACCAGAAUUUGGAGUCCAUAAGAGCAGAAACCAGCUUCUUCUUUUCUGCAUCCCCAGGCCUAAGUGCUCUGUAAAUGCUUAUGAAAGAAUAGAUAAAGGUGUACAGUUCACUCACAGGCUUGGAAAUGUGAGGUAAAUCCUGCCUUGUGCCUCCAAUUCAUGCAUUUUUAUUCAGAUCAAAACAGUUUACAAUGAAUGUUAAGGGAACAAAAUGUCAAAAAUGGUGACACGUGGUUUUAGGGAUGUGUAUGAAAAGGGAAAAGCUUGUUUAGCCCACUUUGCUUUGAUUAUGAAAAGGCCAGCUGAUUAAGAAUAGUUUGUUUAUGAGCACAAGGGUGGUUUUUAGCACUGACCAGGAAGUCCAUCUCCUUGUGCUGCCUUGAGAAAUGUGAGAUUUCCCCCUCUGCAAAAGUGUCAGGUUUUUCUAGAUUUUCUACAACCUGAGGAUAGCUCUUCAUGCACAUGUGCAAUUGCCAAAGAUUAAUAAUGAUAUGAAUAGAUGGGUUGAUAAGUGCAUGGAUGGAUGACGUGUAAAUACAUUUUACUAGACCACUAAACUCUAAUAGAAAUAAGGUAUUAACUGGGAAGACAGUUCCUUUUAGGACAGAAACUUAAUAUCAUGUCAAAAUAUAUUUUUAGAGCUUAAAAAAUAUCCAUAGAUUAUCAUUAGGCACUUAUAAGAAGAAAAAUGAGGAAGUUGAGCAUGAAGUGAACAAUCUGAUUUAUUUAAUAAACUGACAUAAUCACUGGGCCUUAAUGAUUUCCAAAGCAAGCAUAUCCUAUAGUUGGGUCUAUUAUACCUGACAAGACCAUAAUAAUGUGUUGCUAUUUUAGUGGACUGUAAAUAAAACUUCCUACCUGUACCCUUCACCCAAUUCUUAGGAUUGAUGACAUCUACGCCAAGUUAAUGGAGGGAGACAUUCACUGAGUGUUCCUCACACACCAAAAGAUAGAACCAAAAGAUUUUUUAAUAUUCUGUAACCCACGAAGAGUUUUGUUGUCUGGUCAACUUUCUUUGAGGGAAUUUACUGACCUAUGUUAUAUUCUGGACCACAUGAAAAAAAUAUUUUUUUGUAUAGGAAUUUUGUUUGUAGACAUGAAGGCUGAGAUACACUCCCUUUUACAUGCACUCCUCCAGUUCAGACUGUAUCUCAACAUAACAUCACAGUUCUUUCAUUGCUUUUAGAACAGUAGGAUUGGCAGGCAGGCUGCCUCAUAUUAGAGUUUACAUCUAUAUCUGUUUCUUUUGUUGGAUUAAGACUUUCCCCAAAGUAUCUAGAGUAAUGCCUAGCUCAUAGUCUCUGUCACUUCUUUUCUGUGUAGGAAUCCCUUACUGAUCUUCAAAGAUUUAGCUCGAAAGUCAACCCUCAUGCUCCUCUAGAACAGUUAAUUGCUCCCUUUUAUGAGCUCCCCCUACACUGCAUUCACAGUGCUCCUAUAGUGUUUAUCUCAAUUACAGUCACUUAAAUAAAUAUAUGACGCUUCUAUUGAAGCAUGAACUUAUGAAGAGAAAGAAUACUGCAUUUUCACCAUUUUUCCCUUAGUGCCUAACAUACUGCUUGCCAUACAGUAGAUGCUAAAUAAAUCUCUGUUGAAUUAAAGUGUAGUUUAUCUACCAACAAAUAACAAACUGAAGACAAAACUCCCUGAAAUGGAAUUCCAGUUCAAAUUAGGAAAUGUGAGUAAAUUCUAACUCUCAGGAUAAUGAUUAGGGCUGAAGAAGAAAUAUUCUUGGGCUUGAUAAGAGAUCAAGGAAGUUCCGUUCCCGUCGUGGCGCAGUGGUUAACGAAUCCGACUAGGAACCAUGAGGUUGCAGGUUCGGUCCCUGCCCUUGCUCAGUGGGUUAACGAUCCGGCGCUGCCGUGAGCUGUGGUGUAGGUUGCAGACGCGGCUCGGAUCCCACGUUGCUGUGGCUCUGGCGUAGGCCGGUGGCUACAGCUCCAAUUCAACCCCUAGCCUGGGAACCUCC